Molecule: ribosomal RNA, 232 nt
Filed under: uncultured bacterium
Lineage: Bacteria
Description: partial 16S ribosomal RNA
Rfam family: Bacterial small subunit ribosomal RNA
Source: RNAcentral
CGGACGGGUGAGUAAUGUCUGGGAAACUGCCUGAUGGAGGGGGAUAACUACUGGAAACGGUAGCUAAUACCGCAUAACGUCGCAAGACCAAAGAGGGGGACUUUAGGGCCUCUUGCCAUCGGAUGUGCCCAGAUGGGAUUAGCUAGUAGGUGGGGUAACGGCUCACCUAGGCGACGAUCCCUAGCUGGUCUGAGAGGAUGACCAGCCACACUGGAACUGAGACACGGUCCAG